AGGGAAUCUUCGGCAAUGGACGGAAGUCUGACCGAGCAACGCCGCGUGAGUGAAGAAGGUUUUCGGAUCGUAAAGCUCUGUUGUAAGAGAAGAACGAGUGUGAGAGUGGAAAGUUCACACUGUGACGGUAUCUUACCAGAAAGGGACGGCUAACUACGUGCCAGCAGCCGCGGUAAUACGUAGGUCCCGAGCGUUGUCCGGAUUUAUUGGGCGUAAAGCGAGCGCAGGCGGUUAGAUAAGUCUGAAGUUAAAGGCUGUGGCUUAACCAUAGUACGCUUUGGAAACUGUUUAACUUGAGUGCAAGAGGGGAGAGUGGAAUUCCAUGUGUAGCGGUGAAAUGCGUAGAUAUAUGGAGGAACACCGGUGGCGAAAGCGGCUCUCUGGCUCGUAACUGACGCUGAGGCUCGAAAGCGUGGGGAGCAAACAGGAUUAGAUACCCUGGUAGUCCACGCCGUAAACGAUGAGUGCUAGGUGUUAGACCCUUUCCGGGGUUUAGUGCCGUAGCUAACGCAUUAAGCACUCCGCCUGGGGAGUACGACCGCAAGGUUG
RNAcentral lists this ribosomal RNA (549 nucleotides) under uncultured bacterium. RNAcentral describes it as "bacterial SSU rRNA". It matches the Rfam family "Bacterial small subunit ribosomal RNA", at positions 356 to 896 of the family's 1533-position model. The record is from RNAcentral.